GACGAACGCUGGCGGCGUGCUUAACACAUGCAAGUCGAACGAAGAGCGAUGGAUGCUUGCUUCUAUCAAUCUUAGUGGCGAACGGGUGAGUAACGCGUAAUCAACCUGCCCUUCAGAGGGGGACAACAGUUGGAAACGACUGCUAAUACCGCAUACGAUCUAACCUCGGCAUCGAGGAUAGAUGAAAGGUGGCCUCUACAUGUAAGCUAUCACUGAAGGAGGGGAUUGCGUCUGAUUAGCUAGUUGGAGGGGUAACGGCCCACCAAGGCGAUGAUCAGUAGCUGGUCUGAGAGGAUGAACGGCCACAUUGGGACGGAGACACGGCCCAGACUCCUACGGGAGGCAGCAGUGGGGAAUCUUCCGCAAUGGACGAAAGUCUGACGGAGCAACGCCGCGUGAGUGAUGACGGCCUUCGGGUUGUAAAGCUCUGUUAAUCGGGACGAAAGGCCUUCUUGCGAAUAGUGAGAAGGAUUGACGGUACCGGAAUAGAAAGCCACGGCUAACUACGUG
This 510-nucleotide ribosomal RNA is filed under the name uncultured bacterium. Its description in RNAcentral is "partial 16S ribosomal RNA". It matches the Rfam family "Bacterial small subunit ribosomal RNA", at positions 28 to 507 of the family's 1533-position model. The record is from RNAcentral.